Molecule: small RNA, 85 nt
Filed under: Caulobacter vibrioides NA1000
Lineage: Bacteria; Pseudomonadati; Pseudomonadota; Alphaproteobacteria; Caulobacterales; Caulobacteraceae
Description: small non-coding RNA
Source: RNAcentral
ACUCGGCGCACCCCACCGCGUCCGACACCUUUAUGUGGAACCGGCUGACGACAUCCCUCGGAUCGGGUCAGCCGGUUCUCUUUCC